RNAcentral lists this ribosomal RNA (494 nucleotides) under uncultured bacterium. Its description in RNAcentral is "partial 16S ribosomal RNA". It matches the Rfam family "Bacterial small subunit ribosomal RNA", at positions 28 to 507 of the family's 1533-position model. The record is from RNAcentral.
GACGAACGCUGGCGGCGUGCUUAACACAUGCAAGUCGAACGGAAAGGCCUGCUUUCCCUUGUGGAUUGCGGGUACUCGAGUGGCGAACGGGUGAGUAACACGUGAGUGAUCUGCCCCCAACUUGGGGAUAAGCCUGGGAAACUGGGUCUAAUUCCCGAUAGGACAGCAGGGUGGUGCCUGUGGUGGCAAACGAGUUUCGAGUGGUGGGGGAUGAGCUCGCGGCCUAUCAGCCUGUUGGUGGGGUAAGGGCCUAGCAAGGCGGCGACGGGUAGCCGGCCUGGGAGGGUGGACGGCCAGAUUGGGACGGAGAGACGGCCGAGACUGCGACGGGGGGCAGCAGUGGGGAAUAUUGCACAAUGGGCGGAAGCCUGAUGCAGCGACGCCGCGUGGGGGAUGACGGCCUUCGGGUUGUAAACUCCUUUCGACCGCGAGGAAGCCACCUGGUUGGAAGGGUGGUGACGGUAGUGGUAGAAGAAGCACCGGCUAACUACGUG